This is a long non-coding RNA of Sciurus carolinensis (gray squirrel), 1194 nucleotides long. RefSeq lists it as uncharacterized. The record is from RefSeq and is a predicted model, not a curated record. The transcript is spliced from 5 exons. Lineage: Eukaryota; Metazoa; Chordata; Mammalia; Rodentia; Sciuridae.
AUACUUGGACAAGUUAAUUAAAUGGGCUGACUGGAAGGAAAUAUUGAGAUUUAUCUCUGUCCUACUAAAUAAUUGGUCUAUCUGGUCUCUGUUUUGAAGGAUUUUGAAGAAUGAAUUUGUUUUGCAUGGUUUAAAGGGAAUACCUGUUUCUAGCAAUCAUCUUAUGUUGAUAUUUUAUUAGCUGUUAAAAGAGAUAAUAAAAGUGAAAUGGAAUGCAAAUACUCUUAACUUUUCCCAUUCAGCUCGAUGAAUUACUUUAUUUGGAGGAAAGAAGAUCUCAAUAAGUACAGAGAAUUUAAAAGUUGGAAGGAAGAAGGGGGCCAUGGCUGAUGUUCUAAAGUCCCAAGAGGGCAAACUCUGUUGGAGAAGCUGUUCAGUCAGCAGGAGAACGGGCCUCCAGAAGAAGCAGAAAAAUUUUGCUCACGGAUCAUUGCCAUGAGUCUUCUACUUCCUUUUAGUGACUGCUUCAGGGAACCAUGUCAUCAGAAUGCCCAGUCAAGUUUUGCUCCAUUUGAUAUAUGAACUGCUUACUUCCUUUCCAAUCCAGACUCUCAAUCUGCUAUUUUGGAAACGCCAAAAAAAAAGUUCAGAUGCUGCCUAGCAGGUGCUGAUGGAGUUGCUGCUAAUUGAACUGUGUCCUGAGCUGAGAACUCAUUUAGAUCAACUUAAAGCUGAUCAAGUUGGAGACUGCACAAGUAAAUCACCAGAGAAAUGUCUGUAAUAGUAGACAUGAAACAUUUUCCUCUUUUCCACAAAGGAUUUGACUGAGAACCAUAUUGAUUUUUAUUUUAGUUACCUCCCUCUAGUUUUAUGUGAAAUAAGCAGAAUUGGAGGGAGGGGUCUUGAUGCUGUGGUAGACAACAGAAAUUUAAAAAAACCUGUUUAUUAAUUAAGUAAUAAAAAUACUUUCAAAAGUUCAACAAUACUGAUUGAAAUACAAAUGUUAACGUGAUGAAACCCUAGGAAAUAUUUUAAAUAUUUAUGAAACGAUUUUGUUUUACAGUGAACUAUGAAUAUUAUACAAUUAAUUUCCUCACUGAGGAUUCUGAACAUUCCUAUGUUAUUUCACGUGUACUGAAGAACAUUGUUGUACAAUGCUUUGUGUAAAGUUAUUGUGAAAACUUUAUUGUCUUUAUUUUUGCCAAAGAUUUCCCAUAGUUUGAAGCAUUUGAAGCAAUAAAAUAUAAAAAAUUA